ACGGGGGGGGCGAGCGUUGUUCGGAAUUACUGGGCGUAAAGGGCGCGUAGGCGGCCGGCUCAGUCAGACGUGAAAUCCCUCGGCUCAACCGGGGAACUGCGUCUGAUACUGGCUGGCUCGAAUCCGGGAGAGGGAAGUGGAAUUCCAGGUGUAGCGGUGAAAUGCGUAGAUAUCGGGAGGAACACCGGUGGCGAAAGCGGAUCUCUGGCGCGUUACUGACGCUGAGGCUCGAAAGCGUGGGGAGCAAACGG
This 251-nucleotide ribosomal RNA is filed under the name uncultured prokaryote. RNAcentral's name for it is "partial 16S ribosomal RNA". It matches the Rfam family "Bacterial small subunit ribosomal RNA", at positions 525 to 775 of the family's 1533-position model. The record is from RNAcentral.